UAUGCUUGAGUUUUGUGCGGUCAUCUGACGAGAACGGUUUCUUUCAGAUGAUGUAAGGUUUUCAUUGAUCAAUUAAAGGAGUCGCUUGAAACGGCCGUAAUAAA
Long non-coding RNA from Octopus sinensis (East Asian common octopus), 104 nucleotides. RefSeq lists it as uncharacterized. The transcript is spliced from 3 exons. The record is from RefSeq and is a predicted model, not a curated record. Lineage: Eukaryota; Metazoa; Mollusca; Cephalopoda; Octopoda; Octopodidae.